This 355-nucleotide ribosomal RNA is filed under the name uncultured bacterium. RNAcentral's name for it is "bacterial SSU rRNA". It matches the Rfam family "Bacterial small subunit ribosomal RNA", at positions 335 to 677 of the family's 1533-position model. The record is from RNAcentral.
ACUCCUACGGGAGGCAGCAGUGGGGAAUAUUGCACAAUGGGGGAACCCUGAUGCAGCCAUGCCGCGUGUGUGAAGAAGGCCUUCGGGUUGUAAAGCACUUUCAGUAGGGAGGAAGGUAGUGUAGUUAACACCUGCACUAUUUGACUGUUACCUACAGAAGAAGCACCGGCUAACUCCGUGCCAGCAGCCGCGGUAAUACGGAGGGUGCAAGCGUUAACUCGGAAUCACUGGGCGUAAAGAGCGUGUAGGCGGGUUUAUUAAGUCAGAAGUGAAAUCCUAUGGCCUGCAACCAUAGAACUGCUUUUGAAACUGGUAACCUAGAGUAUGGGAGAGGGUAGAUGGAAUUUCUGGUGUA